UACGUAGGGGGCAAGCGUUAUCCGGAUUUACUGGGUGUAAAGGGAGCGUAGGCGGUUAAGCAAGUCAGAAGUGAAAGCCCGGGGCUCAACCUCGGGACUGCUUUUGAAACUGUUUAACUAGAUUGCAGGAGAGGUAAGUGGAAUUCCUAGUGUAGCGGUGAAAUGCGUAGAUAUUAGGAGGAACACCAGUGGCGAAGGCGGCUUACUGGACUGUAAAUGACGCUGAGGCUCGAAAGCGUGGGGAGCAAACAGG
RNAcentral lists this ribosomal RNA (253 nucleotides) under uncultured Lachnospiraceae bacterium. RNAcentral's name for it is "partial 16S ribosomal RNA". It matches the Rfam family "Bacterial small subunit ribosomal RNA", at positions 524 to 776 of the family's 1533-position model. Lineage: Bacteria; Bacillati; Bacillota; Clostridia; Lachnospirales; Lachnospiraceae. The record is from RNAcentral.